This is a non-coding RNA of Macrostomum lignano, 46 nucleotides long. Lineage: Eukaryota; Metazoa; Platyhelminthes; Macrostomidae. The record is from Rfam.
AAAACGGCCCUUUUAAGGGCCACAGUACCAUGUGUAUAUUUAUAUU